AUAUUAUUGCCCCUUUCAGGGAUGCUAUUGCCUUUUGCAGGGAUGUUAUUGCCCCUUUCAGGGAUAUUAUUGCCCUUUUCAUGGGUAUUAUUGCCCUUUAAGGGCUUUUAUUGCCCUUUGGAGGGGUUUUAUUACCCUUUUCAGGGAUGCUAUUGCCUUUUGCAGGGAUGUUAUUGCCCCUUUCAUGGAUAUUAUUGCCCUUUGCACGAUGUUAUUGCCCUUUGCAAGGAUAUUAUUGCUCCUUUCAGGGAUGUUAUUGCCCCUUUCAUGGAUAUUAUUGCCCUUUGCACGAUGUUACUGCUUCUCUCAGGGAUGUUAUUGCCCUUUGGAGGAAUGUUGUUGCCCCUUUCAGGGAUGUUAUUGCCCCUUUCAUGGAUAUUAUUGCCCUUUGCAUGAUGUUGUUGCCGCUUUCAGGGAUAUUAUUGCCUUUUUCAUGGGUAUUAUUGCCCUUUAAGGGAUUUUAUUGCCCUUUGGAGAGGUAUUAUUGCCCUUUUCAGAGAUAUUACUGCCCCUUUAUGGCAUUUGAUUGCCCCUUUCAUGGAUAUUAUUGCCCUUUGCUGGGAUGUUAUUGCCCCUUUACAGAAUAUUAUUACCCUUUCAGGGAUAUUCUUGCCCCUUGCAGGGAUAUAACUGCCCUUUGCAGGAUGUUAUUGCCCCUUUGCAAGGAUAUUAUUGCCCCUUUCAGGGAUAUUAUUGCCCUUUUCAGAGAUAUUACUGCCCCUUUAUGGGAUUUGAUUGCCCCUUUCAUGGAUAUUAUUGCCCCUUUCAGGGAUAUUAUUGCCCUCUUCCAGCUCUGGUCGUGCUGGGAUAAAUCUGUUCCUCCCAGUGUUUGUUGUGGCAUUUGGUGCUCCAUUUUGUGGGCAAACUUCAAGAAAACCCAAUACAUACAUUAAAUUUUGCGUGCCAGGGGCUUUGGGGGCAGCUGAAAAUUCAGCUCCGGUUCCCAAAGCUCUUGGGGAUGCUCUUGAGUUGUCCCCUCUCCCCACCAGCCCUGGGGGGCUCUUGUUCCUGGAGGUUUUUGGGGGAGCGGGCAGAAUUCUCUAGGAAUUGUACGGAAAAGGUCAAAAAUGCUGGUUUUUUUGCUUAUCUCGUGGGUGAACCUCGUGGUGGGGGGAGAUGGGGGGAGAAGCAGCCGGAGGAGGGAGUCGUGCGGCGGCGGGACGGUGUUUGGGCUACAAAUUCCAGGAAUAAGGAGAUAAAGGGUUUGGGUACGGAUUCUCCAAGGUGGCGGUGCCCAAAGCGAGACCUUUUGGCUUAAAGGAAUAUUAAAUUCAACAGCCCCUUGAACGUGAUCAUGAGCUUCACGAAGAACGUGUUAAACCUCUGUAGGGCUGCAGGACUCGACUCUCUGCCCCAAUCGCCUUCAACGUCGCCCCAGAUGUUGAAAAAACCCUACAGUUCUGGGUUUUCUCUCUCUAAAAAAUCCUAUAACUCUGGUUUUCCUUUCCCUAAAAAACCCCACAGCUCUGGGGUUUUCUUUCCCGAAAAAACCUAUAGUUCUGGUUUUCCUUUCCCUAAAAAAACCUACGAUUCUGGGUUUUCUUCCCCUAAAAAAUCCUAUAGUUCUGAUUUUUCUUUCCCUAUUAAAAACUCAUAGCUCUGGGUUUUCUCUCCCUAAAAAAUCCUGUAGCUCUGGUUUUCCUUUCCCUAAAAAACCCCACAGCUCUGGUUUUCCUUUCCCUAAAAACCCCUACAUUUCUGGGUUUUCUGUCCCUAAAAAAUCCUGCAGCUCUGAUUUUCCUUUCCCUAUUAAAAACUUGCGGCUCUGGGUUUUCUCUCCCUAAAAAAUCCUUUAGCUGCGCUUUUCCUUUUCCUAAGAAACCCCAAAGCUCUGGUUUUCCUUUCCCUAAAAACCCUAUAGCUCUGUUUUUUGGUUUUUUUUUUUUUCCUUUC
Molecule: long non-coding RNA, 1893 nt
Filed under: Calidris pygmaea (Spoon-billed sandpiper)
Lineage: Eukaryota; Metazoa; Chordata; Aves; Charadriiformes; Scolopacidae
Description: lncRNA (ENSCPGG00000003102.1)
Source: RNAcentral